CCUACGGGUGGCUGCAGUGAGGAAUAUUGGUCAAUGGGCGCGAGCCUGAACCAGCCAAGUCGCGUGAGGGAAGACGGUCCUAUGGAUUGUAAACCUCUUUUGUCGGGGAGCAAAAGCCGCCACGCGUGUCGUUCCGAGAGUACCCGAAGAAUAAGCAUCGGCUAACUCCGUGCCAGCAGCCGCGGUAAUACGGAGGAUGCGAGCGUUAUCCGGAUUUAUUGGGUUUAAGGGGUGCGCAGGCGGAGGAUGAAGUCAGCGGUAAAAUUGAGAGGCUCAACUUCUUCGAGCCGUUGAAACUGGUCUGCUUGAGUGAGUGAGAAGUAGGCGGAAUGCGUGGUGUAGCGGUGAAAUGCAUAGAGAUCACGCAGAACUCCGAUUGCGAAGGCAGCAUACC
RNAcentral lists this ribosomal RNA (394 nucleotides) under uncultured bacterium. RNAcentral's name for it is "partial 16S ribosomal RNA". It matches the Rfam family "Bacterial small subunit ribosomal RNA", at positions 338 to 730 of the family's 1533-position model. The record is from RNAcentral.